AGGUGCGAUCAUACCAGCACUAAUGCACCGGAUCCCAUCGGAACUUCGAAGUUAAGUGUACUUAGGCGAGAAUAGUACUAAGAUGGGCUAUCACAGGACUUCCACAGACACAAGCA
Molecule: ribosomal RNA, 116 nt
Organism: Cephalotus follicularis
Lineage: Eukaryota; Viridiplantae; Streptophyta; Magnoliopsida; Oxalidales; Cephalotaceae
Source: Rfam